GAUGAACGCUGGCGGCGUGCCUAAUACAUGCAAGUCGAGCGAACAGACGAGGAGCUUGCUCCUCUGACGUUAGCGGCGGACGGGUGAGUAACACGUGGAUAACCUACCUAUAAGACUGGGAUAACUUCGGGAAACCGGAGCUAAUACCGGAUAAUAUAUUGAACCGCAUGGUUCAAUAGUUAAAGACGGUUUUGCUGUCACUUAUAGAUGGAUCCGCGCCGCAUUAGCUAGUUGGUAAGGUAACGGCUUACCAAGGCAACGAUGCGUAGCCGACCUGAGAGGAUGAUCGGCCACACUGGAACUGAGACACGGUCCAGACUCCUACGGGAGGCAGCAGUAGGGAAUCUUCCGCAAAGGGCGAAAGCCUGACGGAGCAACGCCGCGUGAGUGAUGAAGGUCUUCGGAUCGUAAAACUCUGUUAUUAGGGAAGAACAAAUGUGUAAGUAACUAUGCACGUCUUGACGGUACCUAAUCAGAAAGCCACGGCUAACUACGUG
RNAcentral lists this ribosomal RNA (497 nucleotides) under uncultured bacterium. RNAcentral's name for it is "partial 16S ribosomal RNA". It matches the Rfam family "Bacterial small subunit ribosomal RNA", at positions 28 to 507 of the family's 1533-position model. The record is from RNAcentral.